UUUUCGCAAUAAAAUUAAUUAAAAUUUUUCAGCACAUUAACAUUUUUCUAAUAUGAUAACUGAUUGAGCAUCGAAUU
Long non-coding RNA from Trachymyrmex cornetzi, 77 nucleotides. RefSeq lists it as uncharacterized. NCBI's taxonomy places the organism in Eukaryota, Metazoa, Arthropoda, Insecta, Hymenoptera, Formicidae. The record is from RefSeq and is a predicted model, not a curated record. The transcript is spliced from 3 exons.